GAGUGAAGGGAGGUGCUAGAGGCUGGAGGUCAUGACCCCUGGGGAGUAACAAACAGACAUCACAAAGAUGUACUUCUUCAAACGACAAGGAUCAACUGAGGGAGCGGGUAGGGCUGGAGGAUGAACAACGUCGGGAAGUAUCCAGAAAAUUCCCGCAAAGACAUCCAGGGAGAGGUUAGUGAGUGACUGUCCAAAUGAGGUCUGGUGACCCAUAAAAUUCUAAUUACACCGUGUAUAUGUGUGUUUAUAUAACAUCCGAGGUCAAACCAUAUGCUCAAAGUUCGAGCACCUGGCGUCCUAACAUCUGUGAGUAUAUUUAUCACACCAAUCACCAUGACAACUAAUGACAAGUUUUGGCUUGGUAUGGUCUCCAUGUGAAUAAACAAAUCGCCCCACUUCAGUGAGGGAUGGAAAAUACCUCAGCAGCACUGUAGUCUACAAAUAGCAAACUGCAUGAAUAUAUUUAACAGCUCGACUGCACCCAGAGUUGCGAAACAUUGUUGACAAUUGAUUUAAGUGAAAAAACUGUUUUGGCUAGGUUCAUCCUGAGCGUAACAUUUUGAUUUCACAUUUGAGGGACCCCUUGUACAAAUAAAGAAAUACAAAAACAAGAUCCAUGCUAUAUGGUUGUUGCUAGCUCCCUUUAGGGACUGAUGCUCGCUCCCUUUGGUGGCUUUAGCUAAAAAUUCCCUCAAAUUAUUACGGAAUCUUUUAUUUUUUAUAAUUAAAGUGUGCUUAAGAGUAUAGAAUUUGGCAGAACUUGGCAAAAACUAUUUAUAAUGUACGUACAUUUGAAUUAUGUAUAAUCCAAUGAAAAUAAGAAUCGUUGGGUUUUCGUAACCUAACAAUGAGCCCUAUAUAUCUACAUGGGGAGUGGGUCCUUUUCCACUGAGACCGCCAUGGUAAGUUUACAAUCAUAAUUGCUUCUCCAACGUCGUUGUAAAAGGGGAAGGGCGGUAUUUAGUUAGUAUUUGGUUGCAUUACCAACCUAACAGCUAGAUGCCACUAAAUCCCAAACACUUCACCUUUAACACGGCACAGUGGGCGCUUUUGAAGGCCAUAAUACUACCAUACAUGCUAGCUCUCUCACUUCUUCGGCUAAAUUUCAAUCAAUUGGUGGCAUGUUAUGCGGCCUCGCUGCGCUCCCCUUGACAAACAGGCGAUUUUCGAGUUGUACACCUUGACCUCAGCUUAAACUUCUAAAGCCAGCCGUCUUCCUCUUUCAUGCUCGCCGCUGCAAAAGAACUUGCGGGGUUAUUGGUGGUUCAGGCUUGAUAAGAAUCUCGAAAUGGAGUAGUUUGGCGAGGGGAAAGGUUACUGAGAGUUUAAAGAGAGUGCAGGCAGUCAUGGGGAGGAUAAAAAAAAAAAAAAGGGAAGUCGGGCUGAGGAACUGCGUUGGAUCUCCAAAGUGCAGCGUAAACAAAAAGUCCAGUGUUCAACGGCUGGACUUUGCGUUGAUGUGCCGGGCCAAAGGAAAGCUAGGACUUGAACUCCUCUUGACCUUUGGAGUAAUGCCUCACCAGUGCCUGUUCUUUUUUUCUGCUCUGGGCCCAAAACACCAAAACACCAUGAUGGAAUGGAUAACUCUAAGGUCCAUCUGCACCAACAGAUCCAGCUCUGCUAAUGGCUCUUUAAUGCCAUCUCUUCAGGGGGGGCCAGGCAAUACAAUAACAUGUUCCAUUUUGUUUUUCAGGGUCAUCCUUGGGCAUGCAUUCAGGGCACAUCUGUUGACCUCUGCGUGUCCUCCCUUCUCUAAAUGUCUUUCCUGCCUUUGUCUGGCCCUGUAGAGAACAGCAGUCGGCUGUGAAGGCCCUUUUAGAGGAAAAUACAGGACAUCCUCUGGCCCUAGUAUAAUAAUCACCAUCGUCUUUGAUUGCUCAAAGGCUUUCGGUCUUUUGAAUUUCUACUCUUUUUUUUCUUCCUCUGACCCACCCCGUCUCACCCCAACUCAUGUUUGUGUGCUCGAGCUCGACUAAAGAAGACCGAGAAUAUGUUCUGAGGGUGUUAUUUCUAUUAGCUCUAGACUUGAAAACGUAUAAUUGUGAAAUAUUAAUGUUGAAAUUAGAUAUAGAAUUGUUAAAUUUGUGUGGGGUCAUUUAGAUAAAUGUAUGUAAAUGUGUAUGUGUAUAAUGGGUAUACAUUAUUCUAUCAAUUUAUACAUUAUUAAGAAAUAUGCUAUAAUAUUCUAAUAUCUAUAAUAAGUACUACGUGUCAAUGAAAGAGCAAAAGAGUAGAAAAAAGAAACCACGUUAAUACUAGGUCAUGCAUUUUAGAACUUUAUUUUUGAGAUAUCAGUGCAAAUGAACACCAAAAAUGACAACAUAAAAAAUGAAAUUAGGUUUCAUUUCUUCACAUGGAAAAAUGAAACACCUUUUUUUUUCAAUUUGUUGCUACAAAUGUAUUUCUCAGAUGCACAAUGCAUGUCUAUGAUUGUACGUCAAUCCGCCAUAACAGCCCCAAGCCCAGGUCACAUCACAGAGCCUUUUCUUAACCAGUAACAGAAAAGAAAUAAAAGAAAGAUCACAAAAAUAUUCAAUGCACAUAUAUUUUCACACAUCUUCGUCAACUUGCUCAAUAGCCAUGUGGUUAUUUAGGGACUGUUCAUAUUCUAAACGAA
Long non-coding RNA from Gadus macrocephalus (Pacific cod), 2617 nucleotides. RefSeq lists it as uncharacterized. The transcript has 2 exons. NCBI's taxonomy places the organism in Eukaryota, Metazoa, Chordata, Actinopteri, Gadiformes, Gadidae. The record is from RefSeq and is a predicted model, not a curated record.